This 253-nucleotide ribosomal RNA is filed under the name uncultured bacterium. RNAcentral describes it as "partial 16S ribosomal RNA". It matches the Rfam family "Bacterial small subunit ribosomal RNA", at positions 524 to 776 of the family's 1533-position model. The record is from RNAcentral.
UACGGGGGGGGCAAGCGUUGUUCGGAAUUACUGGGCGUAAAGGGCUUGUAGGUGGCCAACUAAGUCAGACGUGAGAUCCCUCGGCUUAACCGGGGAACUGCGUCUGAUACUGGAUGGCUUGAGUGUGGGAGAGGGAUGCGGAAUUCCAGGUGUAGCGGUGAAAUGCGUAGAUAUCUGGAGGAACACCGGUGGCGAAGGCGGGUCUCUGGGCCGAUACUGACGCUGAGGAGCGAAAGCAUGGGUAGCGAACAGG